Molecule: long non-coding RNA, 618 nt
Organism: Eriocheir sinensis (Chinese mitten crab)
Lineage: Eukaryota; Metazoa; Arthropoda; Malacostraca; Decapoda; Varunidae
Exons: 3
Source: RefSeq, a predicted model, not a curated record
CUGGUUCUCUGUCUGGUGUUAGUGUGCUCCAUCCUGCCCCAGCAAAGGUUGUAAUUCCACCUCUCCACCUGGUUCUCUGUCUGGUGUUAGUGUGCUCCAUCCUGCCCCAGCAAAGGUUGUAAUUCCACCUCUCCACCUGGUUCUCUGUCUGGUGUUAGUGUGCUCCAUCCUGCCCCAGCAAAGGUUGUAAUUCCACCUCUCCACCUGGUUCUCUGUCUGGUGUUAGUGUGCUCCAUCCUGCCCCAGCAAAGGUUGUAAUUCCACCUCUCCACCUGGUUCUCUGUCUGGUGUUAGUGUGCUCCAUCCUGCCCCAGCAAAGGUUGUAAUUCCACCUCUCCACCUGGUUCUCUGUCUGGUGUUAGUGUGCUCCAUCCUGCCCCAGCAAAGGUUGUAAUUCCACCUCUCCACCUGGUUCUCUGUCUGGUGUUAGUGUGCUCCAUCCUGCCCCAGCAAAGGUUGUAAUUCCACCUCUCCACCUGGUUCUCUGUCUGGUGUUAGUGUGCUCCAUCCUGUAUGAAGCUGGAAGGCCUGUAUCAUAAGCUCUCUCUUACUGCCUCUGAUAGAAGUCUACAUUCCUAUAACAUGACAUCCAUAUACUUUUUUUAUAAUAAGGGUUAA